Molecule: signal recognition particle RNA, 103 nt
Filed under: Candidatus Accumulibacter regalis
Lineage: Bacteria; Pseudomonadati; Pseudomonadota; Betaproteobacteria
Description: Candidatus Accumulibacter phosphatis clade IIA str. UW-1 SRP RNA; RNA component of signal recognition particle
Rfam family: Bacterial small signal recognition particle RNA
About the family: The signal recognition particle (SRP) is a universally conserved ribonucleoprotein involved in the co-translational targeting of proteins to membranes. Archaeal SRP consists of a 7S RNA and homologues of the eukaryotic SRP19 and SRP54 proteins.
Source: RNAcentral
GGCGGGUCUCCCCGCAUCGCAGGAUGGUGAACCUGGUCAGGUCCGGAAGGAAGCAGCCACAGCCGUCUCAUGUGAGUGCCGGGGGUAAGGCUCGCCACCUUUC